This 75-nucleotide transfer RNA is filed under the name Rhodospirillales bacterium. Its description in RNAcentral is "tRNA-Gln". It matches the Rfam family "tRNA". Rfam says of the family: Transfer RNA (tRNA) molecules are approximately 80 nucleotides in length. The record is from RNAcentral. Lineage: Bacteria; Pseudomonadati; Pseudomonadota; Alphaproteobacteria; Rhodospirillales.
UGGGGCGUCGCCAAGUGGUAAGGCACUGGAUUUUGGUUCCAGCAUUCGCAGGUUCGAAUCCUGCCGCCCCAGCCA